AUCCCUCAACCCUAAAAAUCCUACAUCUCCUCAUUCUUGAAAAAACUAGUGACACACACACUCAAAAAAAGAAGAACGAUCAGAGAUGGAAAUCGGCUGCCUCCCUCAAAGACUCAACUCCUCCCAAUUUCCAACAAUACCUCCUAGCUUCAAAGAGCUAAAAUUUUCCGCCUCCAACUCCAAAAAUCAUCCAUACUCUCCAACACCCAGCAGCCUAAACACACACACAUAUAUAGAAUGAGAUAAAAAAAAAGGGGAAACGACAAAGAGGGGGAGGGGAAUUGAACGAAAAAUCAGAGAGGAAAUCUUGAGAGAAAAGGUUUGAGAUAAGGUUCUUCUCAUUCUUCCAUCUUGAUUCUUUUUUGAUUGUUUUUCAGAAAAUACAGACCAAAAAAAAUUCUCCAUUUCUUGUCCUCAAAUUCAAAAAAAUAUAUUUCUUCUUUCAGUUUGGAUUUUGAUUUCCAUAUGGAGUUUGAUUGAAGACGUAUUCGAGUCGAAGUUCCUCCUCUAUUCUGAGUUCCCCGCCGUGAGUAGAUUUCCGUUUUGGUUCGCGAUUAUUGUUAGAUUUUGCUUCAGAUUGUAUUCAAAGGCUUAUUUUUGAAUAAAAGUUCAAGAGAAAUUGGCUGAAAUUUUGCUAUUCGCUGCUGAUUAUUUCUCAAAUGAACUCAAGGCAUUAGGUACAUACCCACUAAUUUGUCAUUUACCUUUUUUAAUCAAUGAUUUGAAUUGCUUGAAAGGUCGUGAAUCUAUUGCUUCUGCUGUUCCUUGGGUAUAUAUACACCUAAUAGGAUACUCAAUUGAUUUAAAUUUUACCCGUCAUGCUUAAACUAAUUGUGAUUUUGUGACUAGUCAUAAUUUGGGGAAGUGAAGGCUCAUCUGUGAGAAUAUUAAACUGUGUAUGUUCUUCAGUUGAUUCUGUGAGUGAUACUGGGUGUUUGAAGAACCUCGCUGUCAAAUUAUAAUCCAUGUAAUUCAUUAUUGUAAACCCCAAAGGCCUUGAGUAAAUAUGUUGUUUAAUAUAAUGUAUGAAUUGAGAUGUUAUUAACUAGGAACUAAUAUUCACACUGUUUCAUUCGAAUCCCUACCAUGUUUAACCAUGAAUGUGCUUAAGAGUUUUAUGGAUAAGUUUAUUAAUCUGAUGUCAUAUGUAGAAAUAGAAAAAAAAUUAUUUUCAUUUAUUAGAUCCAAAAAAGGAAAAUAACAAAUUGAAGUCUUGGAAUGAAAUGUGUGGUCUAGUUGUUAAAAGAUUUGGACCGGAAUAACCUUCAUUGCACCUUGGGCUUUUAGUUAAAUGCUGACAUUUUUUUGUGUAAUCUCAAACUUAGGAAAGAAAUAAAUCUUGAAUAAUCUCUAGUAUGCUUUAGGCGCGUAUUAAUAAAUAAAUUAUCGUGAUUAUAUACACGUGCGCGUGAUAUAGUUAUAAUUUUUAAACUUAAAACUAAGGUACACGUUCGCAUGACUUUGUCCAAAAAAUCUUAAUAAUUAAUAAAGCGUGAUAGAUUGUGUACACAUAUGCGUGACAUGAUUUUAGCUCCCCAAAUAAAAGGGAUUUACGCACAUGUAAUCCGUUUCAAAGAUUAAAUCCAUAAAUGCCAUAAUCUAAAAGCGGUAGAAGGUAAAAUUUACAUAGGUUCUAAAAUAAAAAAUAUUAAACAAUUUAAUUAAUCCAGGUAUGAUUAAAGAGACCGUGCUAAAACCACAGAACCCGAGAAUGCAUAUCUCCUUCUCCCGGAUUAACAAAAUUUCUUACCUGGUCUUCUGGUUUCGAAGACUUUAGAGCAGAUUCAAACUUUCCCUGAUUUGGGAUUUAAAAUAAAUCGGUGACUUUGGAUACCAUAAAUUAUUCCAAGUGACGACUUUGAAUUAAAUAAAUUAUCCCAUUUCGAUUAAUGUCAAUUAGAGAAACUCCCCAUCCCUAUACCCUCGGGAAAAAAGAGGUGUGACAAUGAACGUUGUUGGAGCAUUUGUCAUCCCAAAAGACAUCACAAGGAACUCACAAUGGCCAUAACGGGUCCUAAACGCUGUCGUAAGAAUAUCCGGGUCCCGAAUCUUCAACUGGUGAUACCCAAACCUCAAAUCAAUCUUGGAGAACACCCUCGCUCCCUGAAGCUGGUCAAAUAGGUCAUCAAAGGAUACUUGUUCUUGAUUGUGACUUUGUUGAAUUACCUAUAAUCAAUAGACAUUCCCAUAAUACUAUCCUUCUUCUUCAUGAACAGAAUAGGUGCACCCCAAGGUGACACACUAGGCCUAAAAAACCCCUUCUCAAGGAGUUCCUAAAUCUACUCCCUCAACUCCUUCAACUCAAUCGGUGCCAUACGGUAUGGAGGAAUAGAAAUACGCUGAGUGCCUGGCACUAAGUCAAUACCAAAAUCAAUGUCCCUAUUGGGUGACACGCCUGACAGGUCUGCAAGAAAUAUAUCCGGAAACUCUUGCACCACCUGAACAGAAUCAAUAGUAGGGGUCUCAGCACUAACAUCCCUUACAAAGGCCAAAUAAGAUAAACAAUCCUUCCCAACCAUCCGCGGGGCCCUUCAAGUAUGAAAUCACUCUACUGGGAACAUAGUCUAAUGAACCAUGCCACUCAAUCCAUGGCAACCCUGACAUCACCAACAUCACAGUCUUAGCAUGACAAUCCAAAACAGCAUGACAUGGAGACAACCAAUCCAUACCCAAAAUCACGUCAAAAUCAACUAUACUAAGUAGCAAGAGAUCAACUCUAGUCUCCAAUCUCCUAAUAGUCACUACACACAACCGAUACACUCUGUCCACAAUAAUAGUAUCACCCAUUGGCGUGGAUAUACGAACAGAUAAAGCUAAAGACUCACGGGGCAUAUCCAGAUAAUAAGUAAAAAACGACGAUAGAUAUGAAUAGGUAGAACCAGGGUCAAGCAAUAAAGAAGCUUCUCGAUGACAUAAUGAGACAAUACUUGUGAUCACUAUGUUUGAAGCGAUAACAUCUGGUCUGGCAGGGAGUGCAUAGAAAUGGGCCUGGGCGCCACCUAAUCAGUCCCCUCUCUAGGGCGACCCCUAUGAUGUUAUGAGGAUAUAAAAUAGUUUCCUUUGGUUACAUUAUGAUAACAUGUACAUUUUAACCUUUUGUUACUUCUGGGUUUAAUAAUUUAGGAUAUAAACAUUUUUGAAUGUUUAAUACUUUGCUAUUAUCAUGAAGAAAUUUGGCGGUAUAAAUAAAAACCCUCAAUGUUUAAUUCUCAUAUUUGAGCCAUGUGAAUGAAGAAAUACCUAGUAGGAAGUGUUUCCUCCUAAAAUAGGCUAUACACGAUUCAAAUCUAGAUUAGUCGAACUAGUAACUUUUGAAUACCAAGUAAUUAAAAAAAGUACUUUGUUAUCAGUGUGGUCGUGACAGAUUUCUUGUUUGAUUUUUGCUUACGUGACGACCCGACCAGUCGUCUCAUAAGUUUCCGCUCCGUUUCCCCCAUUUCUACUUUUUUAUGCUUCGUUAUUCAUGUUUUAUGUGAGCGAGUUGGGUAGUUUGCGUUCAGAGUGGAUUUGGUAAGAAAUGAGACACUUAGUCUUUUUCAAGAAGGUUUAAGUUGGAAAAGUCAACCAGAUGUUGACUUAUGUAUUAGAGGGCUCAGAUGUGAGUUCCGAUAAUUUGGUUAGCUUCAAGAGGUGAUUUAUGACUUGGGAGUGUGAUCGGAAUUGGUUUUGGAGGUCCGGUGUAGAAUUAGGCUUGAAUUGGAGAAGUUAGUAUUUUGGCGAUCUCCGGUUGGUAGGUGAGAUUUUGAUCCAGGGGCCGGAAUAGAAUUUCGAAUGUUGCUGUAGCUUCAUUAUGUCAUUUGGGAGGUGUGUGCGAAAUUUUAGGUCAUUCAGACGUGGUUUGGUCGGGUUUUUGAUCGAAAACGUAUUUCGGGAGAUUUCUCAAAAAUUAGGCUUGAAUUUUGAUGAGUUUUGGGUAAUUUGAUGUUGUUUGAGGUGUUUUGAUGAUUGGAACAAGUUUGAAUAAGGUAUUGGGUCAUGUUGGUGCUUUUGGUUGAGAUCCCGGGGCCUCGAGGUGAAUUCGGAUGGUUAACGGGAAGAUUUUGGACUUAAGAGAUCUCAAAAGUUGUUGCUUCUAGUAUUUCAGAUCCAGCGGAUUGGGGACCGCAGGUGCGGUGCCGCACAUGUAGAAGAAGAGCCGCAGAAGCAGUUUGGGAAGAAUAGCCAAGGACCGUAGAUGCGUUACAAGGACCGCACCUACGGAGUCGCAGAUGCAGCUCGUGGACCGCAUAUGAGGAACCUGGCCUCCUAAGUGAUUUCUGUAGAUGCGCAGGAAUUACCGCAGAAGCGGUACCACAGGAGCGGUGGUGGGGUUGCAGAUGCGAAAAAGCCCUGAUUAGAAAGUUUAUAAGUUAUUUCAUCCGCGAUUUUGAGCCAUUUUUUCCUCCAUAGCUAAGUAUUUUGAGAGCUUUUUGAAGGUGAUUAAAGAGGGAUUCAAGGAGAAUUGAUUGGAGGUAAGACUUUCGAACAUAAAACUUGAAUCUAUUGUGAAAUUAACCUAGAGAUUCCUGGAACUUAAGCUAAAAAUGGAAGAAAUAGGGCUUGGGAUUUUGAGUUUUUUAUUUGGGGAUUUGGAGGACCAUUUGGGGUCGGAUUUGAGAACUUUCGAUAUGUAUGAACUCGUGGAAGGAUAAGGAACCUGUUGAUGUAAAAAUAUUAGAGUUUCGAGAAGUGGUCCUGAGGCUCGGGUUUUGCUAAUUUCGGGAUUAUUGAUAUUUUUCGAUUGUUUUUGCUUGGGCUUUGUUCCCUUAGCAUUUUGUGACGUAUUCGUUCUGAUUUUGGAUAGAUUCGAUGCGCGUGGAGGACGAUUCGAGGGUAAAAGGUGUCCCGAGCUAGAGUGGUAGCCGGUUCGAGGUGAGUAAUGAUCGUAAAUGAUGUCCUGAGGGUUUGAAACCCCAGAUUUGCAUAUCGUAGUGCUAUAUUUAGGUGAGACACGCACUGGAUGAUGAUCGUGGGGUCUUUUACUAUUGGGGAUUGAGACUUGGUCCGUCCCGAUUGAUGAUUUUACCACAUAUUUGAUUGAAACUUAUUUGUUAUCAUCAUGAUUUGGGCUAAUUGCCAUAUUUGGUCUUCUUGCCAACUAUUUGAACCCUUCGGGGAUUUUGACUGAUUUUCCUCACUCUACUUGUUAAAAAUCAUAUCCUCAGUCAUGUUUCUAUUUGUUUUAAACGAUUUGAGCUGGUUUUAUCAUACUAUUCCUAAAUGAGAGGAAUUUGUAGGCUGAGAUCCCUAUCUUCUAUUAUGGUGCCCGAGAGGCUGUGAGGUUAAUGACUGAGAGAGGUUGAGAACCCAAUGGUGAGGAUAUUAUAUAUGUUAUGGACCAGGAUGCACACCGCAGCUAUACAUAUAUUGGAUCGAGCUGCAUGUCGCAUCGAUAUAGCGCUUGGGCUGUUGGAGCCCCUCUAGAGUCUGCACACCCCCAGUGAGCGCAGUCGACUAUCUAUAUGGAUCGGGCUGCAUGCCGCAGUGGUUAUUCUGAUUUCUGUUAUUAUGAGAGAUAUAUGGGUCGAGAGCUGAUAUUGAGCACUAAGUGAUGAGAGUGAGUCCGAGGAGCUGACACUAUUCUGAGUGAUUGAUACUGUGCCCGAGGGGCGGAUUUCCACUUGUUAAUUGCCUACUAAAUUACAUGUUUUACCAGAUUUAAAGAGACUUUACUUGACUUCUUCACUGAUUUACUACUUUAUGUGAUUAUUACUGCUUUGAUAUAGAAUUGCUUUGUGCCUUUACGUGUUUUCUUGCUUUCAGCCAUUAUUUAUAUUUAUUAAUCACUGGGUCGGUGUACUAACAUUCUCCCUGCAUCGUGUGUACAGAUUCAGGCAUCGCAGAGUCUGUUCCUGAGUGUUGAUCUUCCUAGUUCAGACAGUGUUUUCGGAGACUACGAGGUAGCGGUUGGCGUCCGUAGCCCCCGUGCCUCCCUUAUCUUACUAUUUUCAUGUUCUUGAACUUCUGUAUCGGGGUUUAUAUCUAGUAGACUGGUAUCCGGAUUAAUUAGUUGCUCAUGACUUGUGACACCCCGAUUUGGGCUGUAUUAGGAUGGUUUCUAAUGUUGUUAUCAUUAUUUCCGCAUAUAUUUUAGAACUAUUUAUGGUAUUUAACUAUUUAAAUGAGGUGUUCUGUUUGGUUUGGCUGGCCUUGUCUUCACGAGAGGCGCCAUCACGAUCAAGUUUGGGGUUAGGGUCGUGACAAGUUGGUAUCAGAGCCUAGGUUACAUAGGUCUCACGAGUCAUGAGCAGGUUUAGUAGAGUCUCGCGGAUCGGUAUGGAGAUGUUUGUAUCUAUCCUCGAGAGGCUGCAGAACCUUUAGGAAAAACUUCAUAUUCUUGGAAUUCUUGUCGCGCGAACUUGUUGGUCCGAGUACUAAACUUCUGUUAUUCCAUUCUCUCACAGAUGUUGAGGACGCGAGCUACCGGACGAGGUGGACGACCACUAGUGCCACCAGUAGAGACCAC
This 6445-nucleotide long non-coding RNA is filed under the name Nicotiana tabacum (common tobacco). Its description in RNAcentral is "long non-coding RNA (NTAB_LNC009537)". Lineage: Eukaryota; Viridiplantae; Streptophyta; Magnoliopsida; Solanales; Solanaceae. The record is from RNAcentral.